UCAGUCAGUAUUCAGAAGUAACCAGCUAAACAACAAACAACACACCAACAAUGAAGAUGUUGCUCCAAAGAGUUUCCAGAAUCGUCCUCACGGUGGUCGUUGUACUGAUACUGGCCGCAAGUCAAGAAAAAGCUUCUCCAAAGCACUGCUGUGGUUAAUGGCUCCUCGAAAAAAAAACAACAGGUUACUUUAUUAUCAUCGACAAAGCAAUAUCACUGCCAUUCCAACAUGUACCCUAAUUUCAUAAAUUUGGUAAUUGAUAUUUAGUCUCGGUUAGAAACUACUGGAAAAUGCGUUCAUUAUAAUUAUGGGAUUUAACAUGAAAUAAAUACAUUAUGCAUGA
This is a long non-coding RNA of Zophobas morio, 343 nucleotides long. RefSeq lists it as uncharacterized. The record is from RefSeq and is a predicted model, not a curated record. Lineage: Eukaryota; Metazoa; Arthropoda; Insecta; Coleoptera; Tenebrionidae. The transcript has 2 exons.